RNAcentral lists this microRNA precursor (112 nucleotides) under Mus pahari (shrew mouse). Its description in RNAcentral is "miRNA (MGP_PahariEiJ_G0007707.1)". Lineage: Eukaryota; Metazoa; Chordata; Mammalia; Rodentia; Muridae. The record is from RNAcentral.
UUUAAAGAAGAAUCUAGGACUGGAGAUGUGCCCAGUGGUAGCAUGCUUCCUUAGCAUGCGGAAGUCCUGGGUUAGAGUUCCAGCACCACGUUAAUUAAUUAUUAAAAGAUCU